This 326-nucleotide unclassified non-coding RNA is filed under the name uncultured fungus. RNAcentral describes it as "partial contains 5.8S ribosomal RNA and internal transcribed spacer 2". The stretch from base 1 to 133 matches the Rfam family "5.8S ribosomal RNA", at positions 22 to 154 of the family's 154-position model. Lineage: Eukaryota; Fungi. The record is from RNAcentral.
UGGUUCUGGCAUCGAUGAAGAACGCAGCGAAAUGCGAUAAGUAAUGUGAAUUGCAGAAUUCAGUGAAUCAUCGAAUCUUUGAACGCACAUUGCGCCCAUUAGUAUUCUAGUGGGCAUGCCUGUUCGAGCGUCAUUUCAACCCUUAAGCCCUCGUUGCUUAGUGUUGGGAGCCUACGGCACCGUAGCUCCCCAAAGUCAGUGGCGGAGUCGGCUCACACUCUAGACGUAGUAAUUUCUCACCUCGCCUAUAGUUGGACCGGUCCCCUGCCGUAAAACGCCCAAGUCUUUAAAAGGUUGACCUCGGAUCAGGUAGGAAUACCCGCUGA